RNAcentral lists this transfer RNA (59 nucleotides) under Physaloptera rara. Its description in RNAcentral is "tRNA-Met". Lineage: Eukaryota; Metazoa; Nematoda; Chromadorea; Rhabditida; Physalopteridae. The record is from RNAcentral.
AAAUAUUUAGGAUAAGAUAAAGUCUGUGAGAUUCAUAUUCUUGAGGUAGGGGGUAUUUA